This 465-nucleotide ribosomal RNA is filed under the name uncultured bacterium. RNAcentral describes it as "partial 16S ribosomal RNA". It matches the Rfam family "Bacterial small subunit ribosomal RNA", at positions 28 to 507 of the family's 1533-position model. The record is from RNAcentral.
GAUGAACGCUGGCGGCGUGCUUAACACAUGCAAGUCGAACGGAAAGGCUCCUGCUUGCAGGGGUACUCGAGUGGCGAACGGGUGAGUAACACGUGGGUGAUCUGCCCUGCACUUCGGGAUAAGCCUGGGAAACUGGGUCUAAUACCGGAUAGGACGAUGGUUUGGAUGCCAUUGUGGAAAGUUUUUCGGUGUGGGAUGAGCUCGCGGCCUAUCAGCCUGUUGGUGGGGUAAUGGCCUACCAAGGCGUCGACGGGUAGCCGGCCUGAGAGGGUGUACGGCCACAUUGGGACUGAGAUACGGCCCAGACUCCUACGGGAGGCAGCAGUGGGGAAUAUUGCACAAUGGGCGCAAGCCUGAUGCAGCGACGCCGCGUGGGGGAUGACGGCCUUCGGGUUGUAAACUCCUUUCGCUAGGGACGAAGCGCAAGUGACGGUACCUGGAGAAGAGGCACCGGCUAACUACGUG